UACAGAGGUCCCAAGCGUUGUUCGGAUUCACUGGGCGUAAAGGGUGCGUAGGUGGCCAGGUAAGUCUGAUGUGAAAUCUCGGAGCUUAACUCCGAAACUGCAUUGGAUACUAUCUGGCUAGAGGGUCGGAGGGGAGACUGGAAUUCUCGGUGUAGCAGUGAAAUGCGUAGAUAUCGAGAGGAACACCAGUGGCGAAGGCGAGUCUCUGGACAGUUCCUGACACUGAGGCACGAAGGCCAGGGGAGCAAACGGG
Molecule: ribosomal RNA, 253 nt
Filed under: uncultured bacterium
Lineage: Bacteria
Description: partial 16S ribosomal RNA
Rfam family: Bacterial small subunit ribosomal RNA
Source: RNAcentral